This 305-nucleotide ribosomal RNA is filed under the name uncultured bacterium. RNAcentral's name for it is "bacterial SSU rRNA". It matches the Rfam family "Bacterial small subunit ribosomal RNA", at positions 334 to 636 of the family's 1533-position model. The record is from RNAcentral.
GUAACCUACGGGAGGCAGCAGUGAGGAAUAUUGGUCAAUGGGAGAGAUCCUGAACCAGCCAAGCCGCGUGAGGGAAGACGGCCCUAUGGAUUGUAAACCUCUUUUGUCGGGGAGCAAAGAGACCACGUGUGGUCAAAAGCGAGAGUACCCGAAGAAAAAGCAUCGGCUAACUCCGUGCCAGCAGCCGCGGUAAUACGGAGGAUGCGAGCGUUAUCCGGAUUUAUUGGGUUUAAAGGGUGCGUAGGCGGGACGGUAAGUCAGCGGUAAAAAUGCGGAGCUCAACUCCGUCGAGCCGUUGAAACUGU